UUUCCAGACUCCUACGGGAGGCAGCAGUGGGGAAUAUUGCACAAUGGGGGAAACCCUGAUGCAGCGACGCCGCGUGAGUGAAGAAGUCUUUCGGUAUGUAAAGCUCUAUCAGCAGGGAAGAAAAUGACGGUACCUGACUAAGAAGCCCCGGCUAACCACGUGCCAGCAGCCGCGGUAAUACGUAGGGGGCAAGCGUUAUCCGGAUUUACUGGGUGUAAAGGGAGCGUAGACGGCAGCGCAAGUCUGGAGUGAAAUCCCAGGGCUUAACCAUGGAACUGCUUUGGAAACUGUGCAGCUGGAGUGCAGGAGAGGUAAGCGGAAUUCCUAGUGUAGCGGUGAAAUGCGUAGAUAUUAGGAGGAACACCAGUGGCGAAGGCGGCUUACUGGACUGUAACUGACGUUGAGGCUCGAAAGCGUGGGGAGCAAACAGGAUUAGAUACCCUGGUAU
This 448-nucleotide ribosomal RNA is filed under the name uncultured bacterium. RNAcentral's name for it is "bacterial SSU rRNA". It matches the Rfam family "Bacterial small subunit ribosomal RNA", at positions 328 to 793 of the family's 1533-position model. The record is from RNAcentral.